CGCCUAGAGUUUGAAUACCUGUGGCUGAUAUGUUUCCCGGUUAUAACUUACACUGGUUUAAUUUACUCCAUGUACUCUCAGACUGGUUUAAUCGUUCUGACUGGUCCUAGAUCUCAGACCGGUUUGGUCCGUCAGACACGUUCCAGAUAAGUGUGUGGACGUGGUUUCUGCAGUUAUUUUCCGGUUGUGUGCUGUGAGAGGAGGAGAUUCCGAUUCUGCCGACUCCACCUGGUCGUGAUGGUGAGCUUACACAGGUGUGCACAUCAUCAGAGGGAGUGACAGAGGAAUAAUUAUGAUGGCAGGCUGGGAGCAGAGAGCAGCAGGGUUGAGUCAAGAGGGGGGAAGGCAGGGGCUGACAUACCCCCGUUUUCCCUUAUUAAAAUCUGAUUGGCCACCUGAGGUGACGCCUAAAAAUCUUAAACUCUGAUUGGGCAUUUUCUCCUGUUAGAGAUGGGGCUCAUGGUUUAACCAGCUAUCUGAGCUCAGCUGUCUAAACAGGCUGUUUAUAGUUUUUAAAUGAAAAACCUUAGCUUUUGUCUGGUUUGUAAAUAAGAAUGCAAAAAAAAAAAAAUUUUUUUUUCUUUUUACAGCAAAAAUUAAAGGAUGAAAAAAAAAAGCCACAACGGAAGUGAGCUGCUGAGGACUAAUAAUGAUGAUGCACCAGUGUUUUACGAUCGAGGCACAGAAGACAGCAGCGAGAAGAUGAGCAAAGAAGUAAGUGGACACAUGGGCUUUUCAAUGUGUCAUUUGGUUAGGACCAUGGACUGUAUAUACUAUGGACAACUUGAUUCUGCCUCCCACCUGUAUACAGAUUUGAAG
This is a non-coding RNA of Xyrichtys novacula (pearly razorfish), 819 nucleotides long. Lineage: Eukaryota; Metazoa; Chordata; Actinopteri; Labriformes; Labridae. The record is from the annotation of a GenBank genome assembly.